RNAcentral lists this ribosomal RNA (1817 nucleotides) under Pterocystis borysthenica. Its description in RNAcentral is "SSU rRNA". Lineage: Eukaryota; Centroplasthelida; Pterocystida; Pterocystidae. The record is from RNAcentral.
GCCAUGCAUGUCUAAGAAUAAGCCCUUGAACGGUGAAUCUGCGAAUGGCUCAUUAAAUCAGUUAUUGUUUAUUUGAUGGUACCUUACUACUUGGAUAACCGUAGUAAUUCUAGAGCUAAUACAUGCGUCAAGCCCCGACUCACGAAGGGGUGCAUUUAUUAGAUUCAAACCAUCGGCCCCUUCACGGGGGCCGUUGAUGGUGAGUCAUAAUAACUUACAGCGAAUCGAAUGGAUGCACGCCGUCCAUGCUUGCUUCAUAUUUCUGCCCUAUCAACUUUCUAUGGUAGGAUCGUGGCCGACCAUGGCUGUCACGGGUAACGGGGAAUUAGGGUUCGAUUCCGGACAGGGAGCUUGAUAAACAGCUACCACAUCCAACGAUGGAAGCAGGCGCGCAAAUUACCCAAUCCCGACCCGGGGAGGUAGUGACAAUCAAUAACUAUGCUGGAUUGAUUUCAAUCCGGCAAUUGGAAUGAGAGCGAUUUCAAAUCAACGCUCGAGGAACCAUUGGAGGGMARGUCUGGUGCCAGCAGCCGCNSSUAAUUCCAGCUCCAAUAGCGUAUAUUAAAGUUGUUGCAKUUAAAAAGCUCGUAGUCUGAAUCUUGGCUUGGCGUUGAGCGUCCGCGGUCGCGUCAAAAACGGCCGCGCGCAUGCGAUAUUUACGCUGGGCCACGCUUCUUUUUCUUUUACCGGAAAUUGAGGCGUCACUUCGGAGGAACACGGGUGCUUUUCACUAAGCGUUCGUGGGAUUCCGAUAGUUUACUUUGAGAAAAAUAGAGUGUUCAAAGCAGGCGUUCAAUUGCCUUUGAAUACAUUAGCAUGGGAUAAUGGAAUAGGACAUUGGUUUCCUAUUUUGUUGGUUUACGGACCGAUGUAAUGAUUAAUAGGAACAGUUGGGGACAUUCAUAUUCCAUGGCUAGAGGUGAAAUUCUUGGAUUCAUGGAAGAUGAACUACUGCGAAAGCAUUUGUCAAAGAUGUUUUCAUUGAUCAAGAACGAAAGUUAGGGGAGCAAAGACGAUCAGAUACCGUCGUAGUCUUAACUAUAAACGAUGCCGACUAGGGAUCGGUGGGUGUUAGUUUUAUGACUCCAUCGGCACCUCAUGGGAAACCAAAGUCUUUGGGUUCCGGGGGGAGUAUGGUCGCAAGGCUGAAACUUAAAGGAAUUGACGGAAGGGCACCACCAGGAGUGGAGCCUGCGGCUUAAUUUGACUCAACACGGGAAAACUCACCAGGUCCAGACAUGGUAAGGAUUGACAGAUUGAGAGCUCUUUCUUGAUUCCAUGAAAGGUGGCGCAUGGCCGUUCUUAGUUGGUGGAGUGAUUUGUCUGGUUAAUUCCGUUAACGAACGAGACCUUGACCUGCUAACUAGUCACGGUAAGCAGUGGMGAAAUGUUUUGGUGAAAACCCCGGCUUUUUCCGUUCUUGCUUGCUGGCUGAACUUCUUAGAGGGACAAUCUGUGUUUCCAGCAGAUGGAAGCUCGAGGCAAUAACAGGUCUGUGAUGCCCUUAGAUGUCCUGGGCUGCACGCGCGCUACACUGACGAACUCAACGAGUUUAUCACCUUGGCAGAGAUGUCUGGGUAAUCUUUUAAAAGUUCGUCGUGAUGGGGAUAGAUGAUUGUAAUUAUUCGUCUUGAACGAGGAAUUCCUAGUAAGUGUGAGUCAUCAGCUCGCGCUGAUUACGUCCCUGCCCUUUGUACACACCGCCCGUCGCUCCUACCGAUUGAAUGGUCCGGUGAGAACGUCGGAUCACGCGCUCGAUACUGGUUCACGCCAGCGACUUGUGCGAGAGAAGUUGUUCAAACCUUACCAUUAGAGGA